This 403-nucleotide ribosomal RNA is filed under the name Fusobacteriota bacterium. RNAcentral's name for it is "Fusobacteria bacterium partial 16S ribosomal RNA". It matches the Rfam family "Bacterial small subunit ribosomal RNA", at positions 355 to 776 of the family's 1533-position model. The record is from RNAcentral. Lineage: Bacteria; Fusobacteriati; Fusobacteriota.
UGGGGAAUUUUGCACAAUGGAGGAAACUCUGAUGCAGCGACGCCGCGUGAGUGAUGAAGAUCUUCGGAUUGUAAAACUCUGUCCUUAGUGAAGAUAAUGACAGUAACUAAGAAGCAAGCCCUGGCUAAAUACGUGCCAGCAGCCGCGGUAAUACGUAUGGGGCAAGCGUUGUCCGGAAUUAUUGGGCGUAAAGGGUACGUAGGCGGUUUAAUAAGUCCUAAUUAAAAGGCUAUGGCUCAACCAUAGUAUGGUUAGGAGACUGUUGAACUUGAGUAGAUGAGGGGAAAGUGGAAUUCCAUGUGUAGCGGUGAAAUGCGUAGAUAUAUGGAGGAACACCAAUGGCGAAGGCAACUUUCUGGAAUCAAACUGACGCUGAGGUACGAAGGCGUGGGGAGCAAACAGG